AUAGUGACAAGGUUUCGCGAGCAGGACAAAGCUGCCGGUCUUUCGCUCCGUGCCCCCCCGCUGGCGGGUGCUAGAGUGAGACCUCAGCUGCUUGUCCGUAACAAAGCACAUUCUGGGACUAGGAGCAGGCUGCUGCGUCUGGGCGUCGGUCUGGUUGUGGUGGACUCCCAGUGUAACGCUUCGCGCUGCCGCAGGUGGCACGUCUGUCCGCAAAGCCUACAGACUACCAGAAUAGUGACGAAUCCCGAUCCCGUUUGGGAUCAGCCUCAGCUCGAGCCGACGCUUUCAGUUGUAUGGCAAAGCCGUUCUGUCUCCGUUCUGCAUCCGCCCGGCCGUAUGGGCGCUAUGGCGGGUGCAGUAAGGCAGGCGCUCGGCGCACGAUAGAACGUUCGGAACGACCAUCUCAUCCGAGAGGAUGUAAUGGAGCUUACAGGUAGAGAGCGGCAUAAUGGACGCUUUCCCGAAAGCGAUUACCUAUCGCGCAAGCUGAUAGCCGUGGCCAAAGUAAACGUAUUUUCAAAACAAAUGAGUGGGACCGUCUAUACGCCUCCAGCGCUUGUCCGUAGCGACAGAAGCGUGCCACCACGCUACCCAGGGCAGCGCCCGGAAAGCAUGUGGUGGAAAUAUGGGAACACGUGACCACUGUCAAGUCACAGCUGAGACGGGCGCACCGGUGCAGUAGAGAACGAAGAUGAAAAUUGCCAACGAAGCGUAAAUCCUGACGACAGUCUGCGCAUUCAAUGCGUCGACUAUAGCUAGAAGGAGCGGAAUCGGGACGUUUACGCUUCUAGCAAAUCCAUUGAAUGAUGUCAACAGAGCUCGAGGACCACUAAAGACCGGCAUGAUUAAAAGCGGGAACCAGACAGUGGAAAAAGAGAGCAGCCGCAGAUAACGCUCACAGAGUCUGGUAUUGAUGACAGUGGGAACGACCCAAAACUCAGUGAACACGCCCGAGUGAGAACACCCGUACCAUUUUAUUCUGAUAUAGAAGUAGAGCGAUUGUCGUCAACUCCCGCGGCACGACGGGGCGAAAUCGUCUUCCGUGUGCAUCUGGGUCACGACUCGUCUCAUCUUCUAUGAACCUACCGUGCAUCUUUUGCAUCACAAGUCGAUGCAUUAGCGAGGAAAAUGUUUCGGCUGAUACUAGCGUCGUCAAUCCCGAGGCGACAGCGUAAUGGGUGCCUGCCGUCCGCCGUUUCGGCCAAUAGCCUCAUCGAAACUGAAUAUAAAAGGC
Cyanidioschyzon merolae strain 10D is the source of this 1234-nucleotide RNA transcript. RefSeq lists it as hypothetical. The record is from RefSeq and is a predicted model, not a curated record. The transcript has a single exon. Lineage: Eukaryota; Rhodophyta; Bangiophyceae; Cyanidiales; Cyanidiaceae.